Molecule: transfer RNA, 74 nt
Filed under: Glaciihabitans tibetensis
Lineage: Bacteria; Bacillati; Actinomycetota; Actinomycetes; Micrococcales; Microbacteriaceae
Also listed under: 1 other name
Rfam family: tRNA
About the family: Transfer RNA (tRNA) molecules are approximately 80 nucleotides in length. Their secondary structure includes four short double-helical elements and three loops (D, anti-codon, and T loops).
Source: Rfam by way of RNAcentral
GCCCCUAUAGCUCAGCUGGUUAGAGCCCCGAACUCAUAAUUCGGUAGUCCUCGGUUCAAGUCCGAGUGGGGGCA